CGGAGAACUCGUACAGUAGCGGCGUCAGAUCCAACGCGCGCCUCCUAGUCCAGAGUCCAUUUGCAUAAUUGGAUUUUUUUUUUUUGCCUCUUUCUUCUUCCCCGAAACUUGUUUGAAAACCCCAGUGAAAACCGCGACGACCUGCGCACUCAAAAGCAAGUGCCAAGGAGCUGGGACGCCCCUCUGGCAAUCUGUCAGUGCCUGCAUCAACAGUCUCCUUCCUGGGGUAUUUUCUCACCAGACUGACAGUCCUUAAGACAAGUAUGCAGUUAAGCUGCUAAGG
RNAcentral lists this long non-coding RNA (283 nucleotides) under Cavia porcellus (domestic guinea pig). Its description in RNAcentral is "lncRNA (ENSCPOG00000037798.1)". The record is from RNAcentral. Lineage: Eukaryota; Metazoa; Chordata; Mammalia; Rodentia; Caviidae.